GGAGGAGGCACUCUAUAGCGCCACCUUUUGUCAAAAGUGGGGGGGUUAGUUUUAGCUACAGACACCAAACUCGGUACAUAAAUUAUUCUUAUCAAGACGGACAACUUUCUAAUUUACAGUCAUCAGCUACGACCAACAGGAAGUCGGCUAUUUUGGGCUGUUUAAAAAAAGCAUGCUCUGGAAUUUGAAAUACUCCUCUGAGGUUUUCCACCCGUUCUCCACGAAACUCGGUGAACAUGAUCUCAAGACAUUGGGGAUGAAAAAUUGCCAGGGGAUUUUUGAUAUCUCGAACGGUUUGUCCGUGGCGAGGCGUUGAAAUUAGGGCAAAAAAUGAGAAACAGGAAAUGUCUAAUAACAUCCACAUACAUUUUCUGAUUUAGAUCAAACUUCAUCGGAUUGUUUGAUGUAUG
Molecule: long non-coding RNA, 410 nt
Organism: Cyprinus carpio carpio
Lineage: Eukaryota; Metazoa; Chordata; Actinopteri; Cypriniformes; Cyprinidae
Source: Ensembl